GAUAUAGCUGGUUCUCCCCGAAAUAGGUUUAGGCCUAGCCUCGAGGUAGAGAUAUGUGAAGGUAGAGCACUGAAUGUCCGAUGGCCCCGUCUAGGGGUACUGAAUGCAAUCAAACUCCGAAUGUCAUGUAUUAUACUCGGGAGUCAGCGUGCGGGUGAUAACGUCCGUACGCGAAAGGAAAAGAGUCCAAGAUCGCCAAUUAAGGUCCCAAAAUCUGUACUAAGUGGGAAAGGAUGUGGAGUUGUCAAAACAGCUAGGAGGUUGGCUCAGAAGCAGCCAUCCUUUAAAGAGUGCGUAAUAGCUCACUAGUCGAGUGACACUGCGCCGAAGAUGUACCGGGGCUAAGUACAGUACCGAAGUUGCGGAUUCAUGCAUAAGCAUGAGUGGUAGGGGAGCGUUCUAACAGCGGAGAAGGUUUACCGGAAGGAGAGCUGGAGCGGUUAGAAGUGAGAAUGCCGGUGUGAGUAGCGCAAGCUGGGUGAGAAUCCCGGCCACCGUUUGCCUAAGGGUUCCUGGGGAAGGUUCGUCCUCCCAGGGUUAGUCGGGUCCUAAGACGAGGCUGAAAAGCGUAGCCGAUGGACAACAGGUUUAUAUUCCUGUACUAUCUGUAUAACUGAAGGAAUGACGAAGAAGGCUAUGGAGAUCCAGUUAAUGGAUUCUGGUCUAAGCACAAAGGUUUAUAAAAAAGGAAAUCUGUUUAUAGAGCAACUGAAGUGUGAUGGGGAAGGAGUUAGAGAUAACACCGAACUUUCCAGACGCCAAGCUUCCAAGAAAAGUUUCUAGGGCUAAUUAUACAGGUACCCGUACCGAGAACCGACACAGGUGGGCAAGGAGAGUAUCCUAAGGUGAGCGAGAGAACUAUGGUUAAGGAACUCGGCAAAAUGACCCCGUAACUUCGGGAUAAGGGGUGGUCAAGCGAUUGACCCGCAGUAAAGAGGCCCAGGCAACUGUUUACCAAAAACACAGGUUUCUGCAAAAGCGCAAGCUGAAGUAUAGGAGCUGACGCCUGCCCAGUGCUGGAAGGUUAAUAGGAGAGCUUAGAUGUGACGAAAGUCGAUAGCAUCGAAGGUUCGAAUUGAAGCCCCAGUGAACGGCGGCCGUAACUAUAACGGUCCUAAGGUAGCGAAAUUCCUUGUCAGGUAAGUUCUGACCCGCACGAAAGGCGUAAUGAUCUGGGUACUGUCUCAACCAUAGACUCGGUGAAAUCUUAUUACCUGUGAAAAUGCAGGUUACCCGCGACUGGACGAGAAGACCCCAUGGAGCUUUACUAUAGCUUGAUAUUGAGGUUUGGUAAGUUAUGUAGAGAAUAGGUGGGAGACUGAGAGAUAUCGGCGCCAGCUGAUAAGGAGUCAGCAAUGGAAUACCACCCUUGCAACUUAUUGAACUUCUAACCUAGGUCCAUAAUCUGGAUCAGGGACAGUGUCUGGUGGGUAGUUUGACUGGGGCGGUCGCCUCCCAAAAAGUAACGGAGGCGCCCAAUGGUUCCCUCAGAAUGGUUGGAAAUCAUUCGAAGAGCGUAAAGGUAUAAGGGAGCUUAACUGCGAGACCAACAAGUCGAGCAGAUACGAAAGUAGGGCUUAGUGAUCAGACGAUGCAGAAUGGAAUGGUCGUCGCUUAACGGAUAAAAGUUACCCUGGGGAUAACAGGCUGAUGCCACCCAAUAGUUCACAUAGACGGUGGCGUUUGGCACCUCGAUGUCGGCUCGUCACAUCCUGGAGGUGAAGUCGCUUCCAAGGGUUGGGCUGUUCGCCCAUUAAAGUGGCACGCGAGCUGGGUUCAGAACGUCGUGAGACAGUUCGGUCUCUAUCCGUCGUGGGCGUAGGAAAAUUGAAGAGAUCUGUCCUUAGUACGAGAGGACCGGGACGGACCUACCUCUGGUGUAUCUGUUGUCACGCCAGUGGCAGCGCAGAGUAGCUAUGUAGGGAAUGGAUAACCGCUGAAAGCAU
RNAcentral lists this ribosomal RNA (1946 nucleotides) under human gut metagenome. Its description in RNAcentral is "bacterial LSU rRNA". It matches the Rfam family "Bacterial large subunit ribosomal RNA", at positions 842 to 2780 of the family's 2925-position model. The record is from RNAcentral.